UUGGAGGUUGUGAUCCAUCCCAACUCCCAUCCUCUCGUGGUAAUAAAGAGAAGGAGAAAGCAAAGCCGAAGAAGUCACAUUAUGUAAUAAAAGUAUUGUCACAAAAAGAAGCAUCGACAUCAUCUGUCGAAGCCCCACCUGUUGCACAAUCCUUACCCACACCAUCACCAUCCUCAGUUGCUGCAGCCACACCAUCUCUUGUUGUUGCACCCAUAUGGUCACCAUCAUCAGUUGUUGCAACCACACCAUCCCUAACUGGUACAACCACACCAUGAUCACCUACUCAAUGCCUACAAGACCGACCAUCAUAACAGGAUGCUUCAUCAUCCUCUAGAGAAAAUCUUGAGAACUUGUCUCAUGAACAUGAUUCAGAUGGGAAAUGGAAGAACCUUUACUGAUGAUCACCCUAUGAUUAUACCCAAUGGUGGAGAAAUUGCAUCACAAGCUAUCUCAAUGACCAUCUAACUGCAAUUUCUUCAUCCAUGGCCUACACGGGGAGUAAUGAAAGACCAUGAAAAUGAUGCCUUCUUCUAGCGCUUUAAGAGGUUGGUGAUGUGGAGGUUUGAGCAUAAGGACAGGAUUAGGAGAAAUUUUCACAGUAAAGCCUCUCAUAGAUUGUCUUAUAUGUUUGGCAAUGCUCGAAAGACUCAUAAGAAGCCAAGAUGGCUUGGAGAUGGCAUAUGGCACCGUUUUUAACACAUUGGAAUACAAAAGCUUAUCUUGCAAAGUCAUCACAAGCAAUAAUAAAUCGUUCGUCUAAAAAAGGUGGGGCCCUUCAUAUAGGUGGCUUCAUUAGCAUGCAUGAUCAUACCAUGCACAUGAAGAAUUUGGUCAUUCUGUACAUACUGUUGAGGUCUUUUAACAGACCCAUAUAAGAAAGGAUACUAGUGAAUUUGUCGAUGAAAGAUCUAGGAGAACGCAUGUCAAUUUUUUUAAUUAUUUUUUCUUCAUUUUAUUCACAUUAUUAUGUUACUGAAAGUUGUCUUUGAAAAAUUUCAAAGAAUAUAUUCUCAAGCUAGGUCUAAGGCUGCAUCAUCUGUUAGGGAAUUAGAGACUAGCCCUACUUUGGAGGAGAGUAUUAGGUCUAGGUGUUGAGACAAAGCUGUUGGUGAAAAGACUAAAGGACAACUCUACAUGGCUAGAGACCUUUCUCAUGAUUAUGAAGGUGGAGACUGUAGCCUCACGCAAAAAAGGAAAGCAUCAAGUAGUUGUUCACUUGAUUUAGAAUACAUUAUCUCGCUGAGACAACAACUUUCACUAAGUGAGGAGUGCAGCGCUGUGUCUUUUUAUUGUUUGUUCAAGUGAUUUAAUUAAAUUAUAAGAUAAAUUAAAUUUAGUUGAAGUA
Molecule: long non-coding RNA, 1345 nt
Organism: Glycine soja
Lineage: Eukaryota; Viridiplantae; Streptophyta; Magnoliopsida; Fabales; Fabaceae
Exons: 4
Source: RefSeq, a predicted model, not a curated record